This 293-nucleotide unclassified non-coding RNA is filed under the name Melitaea cinxia (Glanville fritillary). RNAcentral's name for it is "misc RNA ENSMCXG00005000600.1". Lineage: Eukaryota; Metazoa; Arthropoda; Insecta; Lepidoptera; Nymphalidae. The record is from RNAcentral.
GGGAAAGUUUGUUUACCUAUCCUUUUGUUUAUCGUACUCUUUUAUGUUUCUAUUAUUACUUUUUUCCUUCUUAAUUUUUAUAGAUUGUAAACCAAGAAAAAACGAAUAUGAAAGUUUUCUUUCUUUAUUUCCAUUGUUGUUGAUAGUUAUAGUUUUAAAAGAGUUUUUUUUUCAUUUAUUUGUAAAACAGAGCACAAAAGAUUGUUAUUUGUACACAGGCCGCUUAUUCUCAAUUUCUCGAAGUUUCUCUUCGUCUUCUGCUUCUUUAGGAAUGAUUUUCUGAAUGAUUAAUA